Molecule: ribosomal RNA, 253 nt
Filed under: uncultured Parabacteroides sp.
Lineage: Bacteria; Pseudomonadati; Bacteroidota; Bacteroidia; Bacteroidales; Tannerellaceae
Description: partial 16S ribosomal RNA
Rfam family: Bacterial small subunit ribosomal RNA
Source: RNAcentral
UACGGAGGAUGCGAGCGUUAUCCGGAUUUAUUGGGUUUAAAGGGUGCGUAGGCGGCCUUUUAAGUCAGCGGUGAAAGUCUGUGGCUCAACCAUAGAAUUGCCGUUGAAACUGGCUGGCUUGAGUUGGGGAAAGGCAGGCGGAAUGCGCGGUGUAGCGGUGAAAUGCAUAGAUAUCACGCAGAGCUCCGAUUGCGAAGGCAGCUUACUAAGCCAUAACUGACACUGAAGCACGAAAGCGUGGGUAUCGAACAGG